UACGGAGGGGGCUAGCGUUGUUCGGAAUUACUGGGCGUAAAGCGCGCGUAGGCGGCUUUGUAAGUUAGAGGUGAAAGCCCAGGGCUUAACCCCUGGAAUUGCCUUUAAGACUGCAUCGCUAGAAUCGUGGAGAGGUGAGUGGAAUUCCGAGUGUAGAGGUGAAAUUCGUAGAUAUUCGGAAGAACACCAGUGGCGAAGGCGACUCACUGGACACGUAUUGACGCUGAGGUGCGAAAGCGUGGGGAGCAACAGG
Molecule: ribosomal RNA, 253 nt
Filed under: uncultured bacterium
Lineage: Bacteria
Description: partial 16S ribosomal RNA
Rfam family: Bacterial small subunit ribosomal RNA
Source: RNAcentral